Molecule: small nucleolar RNA, 72 nt
Organism: Gambusia affinis (western mosquitofish)
Lineage: Eukaryota; Metazoa; Chordata; Actinopteri; Cyprinodontiformes; Poeciliidae
Source: Ensembl
GGUGCACAUGAUGGUAAAUGCGAUCAAAGUAUGAAAAAUCAUGAGUCCAAUUCUAUUAACUACUGAUGCACC